AGGACGAACGCUGGCGGCGUGCUUAACACAUGCAAGUCGAACGGUAAGGCCCUUCGGGGUACACGAGUGGCGAACGGGUGAGUAACACGUGGGUGAUCUGCCCUGCACUUCGGGAUAAGCUUGGGAAACUGGGUCUAAUACCGGAUAUGACUACGAAUCGCAUGGUUUGUGGUGGAAAGCUUUUGCGGUGUGGGACGGGCCCGCGGCCUAUCAGCUAGUUGGUGAGGUAAAAGCUCACCAAGGCGACGACGGGUAGCCGGCCUGAGAGGGCGACCGGCCACACUGGGACUGAGACACGGCCCAGACUCCUACGGGAGGCAGCAGUGGGGAAUAUUGCACAAUGGGCGCAAGCCUGAUGCAGCGACGCCGCGUGAGGGAUGAAGGCCUUCGGGUUGUAAACCUCUUUCAGCAGGGACGAAGCGAAAGUGACGGUACCUGCAGAAGAAGCACCGGCUAACUACGUGCCAGCAGCCGCGGUAA
This 480-nucleotide ribosomal RNA is filed under the name uncultured bacterium. RNAcentral describes it as "SSU rRNA". It matches the Rfam family "Bacterial small subunit ribosomal RNA", at positions 26 to 523 of the family's 1533-position model. The record is from RNAcentral.